GAUGAACGCUGGCGGCGUGCCUAAUACAUGCAAGUCGAGCGAACAGACGAGGAGCUUGCUCCUCUGACGUUAGCGGCGGACGGGUGAGUAACACGUGGAUAACCUACCUAUAAGACUGGGAUAACUUCGGGAAACCGGAGCUAAUACCGUAUAAUAUAUUGAACCGCAUGGUUCAAUAGUGAAAGACGGUUUUGCUGUCACUUAUAGAUGGAUCCGCGCCGCAUUAGCUAGUUGGUAAGGUAACGGCUUACCAAGGCAACGAUGCGUAGCCGACCUGAGAGAGUGGUCGGCCACACUGGAACUGAGACACGGUCCAGACUCCUACGGGAGGCAGCAGUAGGGAAUCUUCCGCAAUGGGCGAGAGCUUGACGGAGCAACGCCGAGUGAGUGAUGAAGGUCUUCGGAUCGUAAAAAUCUGUUAUUAGGGGAAAACAGAUGUGUAAGUAACUAUGCACGUAUUGACGGUACCUAAUCAGAAAGCCACGGCUAACUACGUG
This 497-nucleotide ribosomal RNA is filed under the name uncultured bacterium. Its description in RNAcentral is "partial 16S ribosomal RNA". It matches the Rfam family "Bacterial small subunit ribosomal RNA", at positions 28 to 507 of the family's 1533-position model. The record is from RNAcentral.